GGAGGGGUCGGAUAGCGGUUUAUUCCACCUGUCUUGAAAACAGGCAGCCCGAAAGGGUUCGGGAGUUCGAAUCUCCCCCCCUCCG
RNAcentral lists this transfer RNA (85 nucleotides) under Candidatus Berkelbacteria bacterium CG03_land_8_20_14_0_80_40_36. RNAcentral's name for it is "tRNA-Ser". It matches the Rfam family "tRNA". From Rfam's summary of the family: Transfer RNA (tRNA) molecules are approximately 80 nucleotides in length. Their secondary structure includes four short double-helical elements and three loops (D, anti-codon, and T loops). The record is from RNAcentral. Lineage: Bacteria; Candidatus Berkelbacteria.